UUUUAAAUAUAUUUUAUAAUGAUUUAUUUUUCUUAAUUAUGAAAGAUGAGAAUAAUUUUUUUAUAAUUUUUAAAUUAGAAAAUAUUUUUUCUAUUAUUGCCAGGUCAUCUCAUUUUUAAUGUUUUUAGUUGUUUUCCAUAUAAAAUGAAAAGUGGAGUUUCCUUUGGAAAUAGAAAAUGGAAAACAGAAAACUGUUUUUUACUAGUAAGCAAACCUUAAACUCCUUUUGAGAGAGUUAUUGUUGCUUAGAUCAAUUGAUUAGGAAGCUCGCUCAAGGGAUCGUUAAUACGUUUAUUGGGAUGGAGGAGAGCCUGACAAUAUUUCUCCCACAUAAAAACUAUAAGAACCAUUCACCCAUUUUGUGGGAGGGGACAUUACAACGCUUGUCAGGGCACUCCCUUGAAUAUCAUAUUUAAAGUGCCAGUUGAUCCAUUUUUUUUUUUCUCACUGAUCUCCUUAAUGCCUCUAUUGGCCAAAUCCUAUCAUUGCUUCUGACCCUUUGCACAAGUCAUGCCUAGCUUAGUGGCAGAUCUCCACCUGGACCGGUGUACCUCAUUAUAUUUUCUCCUAGCUCCACUUAUUUUCCCAAUGUCUCCUUAUUCUCUUUAUUAGGAUUCUUAUACAGUAGACUAGGUUCCAUCAAUGUUUUCAUUUCAAAUACUGCUGUUCACAGUCAACACUACCGGUUAUAUUAAUUUCUUGUUUAUUUUUAAUUAUCCUUGUGUUUGCUACAUUCUUGUUUCUGGGUUCAUAGCCUGAUCUGUAGUCCUUAUUAUGCUUGUUACAUUGAAUUGCAAUUAUAGUUGAUGGCAGGUAAAUAUGUAUUAUUCUUCUUACUGGUGUUAUUAAGGCAAAAGUUUAUUCACAUGCACUUAGCAGAGAUUUAAAGUUAAUUUGUAUGAAAGGACUAGGUGAUAUGAGGUAUUAACUGAGUAUUAAAAAUAGAGUGACCAACUAAUUAAUAUUGGCAAUCCCUAGGGACUAAAUAAUUAUUUACCCUAUUUUUAAGAAAUUGUUCAUAAUCAUCUGGUUAAAUUCAAAUAAUCUGGUGGACAUAUCUGCACAUUUAUUUGAUGGGGUUUCUUACUUGAUAGAUGGAUGAUGGGAUGAAGUCUUCCUGUUAGAUAAUGAUUAGGUAUUUUGAAGACAAGUCCAUGCACUUGUUGUCAAAAUCUCACCACAUUCACUACUACCCUAGCAAGCUGCUGUCCUGUAUCACUGAUCCCAAUCACUAUUGUUCGGUUAUUAUUUGAGUCGGUUAAAAAUUUUGAUUAGUCAAAAUUUCAGUUUGGUUAACUGAAUGUACACACCCUAUUUGGGACAGAGAAUCUAAAAAGUGUUGGUUAGUGAAGAAACAAAUUCAUAAGAUUAGUGUGGUAGAAAUGGGAAUGUUAAAAUGGAUUGUAGAAAGGUGGUGAUUUUGUAGGAAGGUGGUGGAAGUGACACCUAUUGAGGAAAAGUUAUGAGCAGGGAGAUUGAAAUGAUUUGGAUAGCUACAUUGUGGAUCAACAAAGGAUGCAAGGCUGAGCACAUUGAAUGUUUAGGGAAUAAAAAAGCAUGAGGCUGGUCAAGGAUGACUUGGUGGGAAAUAACGAGAAAGGAUUGUGCAGCUUUAUCUGGACCACAUCAAGUGGGAUAGAGAAAAGGAAUCCAUAUAGUCAACUCUUUGGAAUUAAGAUUUAGUUGUGCUGAAUUGAGUAGCAGAAUUGAAAUAUCAAUAAAUUGCCCGGGAGUAGGCUUCAAAGAACAUAAUAGACUGCCCAUAAAAGGGGGGGAAAUUUCUGUUAUGUGUCUAUCCAUAUUUCAUUUUCUAUCUUAGCAAAGAGAACUAGAUGAUAAGGUGAGAAUUUUUAGACGACGUUAUGGCCGAGAUAUUUGAAUUUAAAAAAAAUAUAUUUUAUGAACCAUUGGCCCAUGAUUUUAUCAUAUUUGGAUUUUAGACACUUGUUAUUAUGACUCGAAUAUUAUGAAAUUGUUAUGAAUAUUUGCUGUUAUUUUAUUUUCUUAACAAAAUUUGUUUAUUUUGUGGCUGUACCAUUCUCACCUUAUUGAACCUUGUGCCUUACUAAAGUUUACAACUAUGAAUGUAAUCCAAUCCAAGAUGAUUGGCUGAGCAUUUUGAUGUUAUGAGGUAAUGACAUAAAACAACAGAUUCAAUCCAUCCGACGUUUUCCCACUAGUCAAAAUGAAAGGAAUAUUUUGAUAAGAAUCCAAUUAGAAAGAGGAUUUUGCUUUGGUUUCAGUGAAUAAUUUGGUUUUUCCACAGUACUGAAGACAUAAAUCCUUGUCUUGCAAUUGCUAGCUUUUAUUUUUUUAGUGAAAUGCAAUCGUAUAAAAAUUUGACAAUUUCACAGAUGUUGCAUCUGCAUAUAAGUCUUAACUUAUUUAUGGUCUAUUAAUGCAAUCUUCAAUGUCUCCUUUCCAGAUGCAGGAUGCUGUUGAUGAGAUA
This 2449-nucleotide unclassified non-coding RNA is filed under the name Hevea brasiliensis (rubber tree). The record is from RNAcentral. Lineage: Eukaryota; Viridiplantae; Streptophyta; Magnoliopsida; Malpighiales; Euphorbiaceae.